This 253-nucleotide ribosomal RNA is filed under the name uncultured bacterium. Its description in RNAcentral is "partial 16S ribosomal RNA". It matches the Rfam family "Bacterial small subunit ribosomal RNA", at positions 524 to 776 of the family's 1533-position model. The record is from RNAcentral.
UACGUAGGGGGCUAGCGUUGUCCGGAAUCAUUGGGCGUAAAGCGCGUGUAGGCGGUUCGGUAAGUCCGCUGUGAAAGUCGGGGGCUCAACCCUCGGAAGCCGGUGGAUACUGUCGAGCUAGAGUACGGAAGAGGCGAGUGGAAUUCCUGGUGUAGCGGUGAAAUGCGCAGAUAUCAGGAGGAACACCAAUGGCGAAGGCAGCUCGCUGGGACGUUACUGACGCUGAGACGCGAAAGCGUGGGGAGCGAACAGG